AGAGUUUGAUCCUGGCUCAGAAUCAACGCUGGCGGCGUGCCUCAGACAUGCAAGUCGAACGCGAAAGCUCCCUUCGGGGAGCAAGUAGAGUGGCGCACGGGUGAGUAACACGUAGGUAAUCUACCUUUGGAUGGGGAAUAACAACCGGAAACGGUUGCUAAUACCGCAUAAUGCAGCGGCACCUAAUGGUGACAGUUGUUAAAGCGGGGGAUCGCAAGACCUCGCGUCUGAAGAGGAGCCUGCGGCAGGUUAGCUAGUUGGUAAGGUAACGGCUUACCAAGGCGAUGAUCUGUAGCCGGCCUGAGAGGGCGGUCGGCCACACUGACACUGACAUACGGGUCAGACUCCUACGGGAGGCAGCAGUCGGGAAUUUUGGGCAAUGGGCGAAAGCCUGACCCAGCAACGCCGCGUGAAGGAUGAAAUCCCUCGGGAUGUAAACUUCGCAAGAACGGGAAGAAUAAGUAAGGGUUAAUAUCUCUUACGAUGACGGUACUGUUUGUAAGCUCCGGCUAACUCCGUGCCAGCAGCCGCGGUAAUACGGGGGGAGCAAGCGUUGUUCGGAUUUACUGGGCGUAAAGGGCGCGUAGGCGGCCACCGCAAGUCGACUGUGAAAUCUCCGGGCUUAACCCGGAAAGGUCAGCCGAUACUGCGGGGCUAGAGUGCAGAAGGGGCAACUGGAAUUCUCGGUGUAGCGGUGAAAUGCGUAGAUAUCGAGAGGAACACCUGCGGCGAAGGCGGGUUGCUGGGCUGACACUGACGCUGAGGCGCGAAAGCUAGGGGAGCGAACGGGAUUAGAUACCCCGGUAGUCCUAGCCUUAAACGAUGAAUGCUUGGUGUCUGGGGUUAUAUAGUCCCCGGGUGCCGUCGCUAACGCUUUAAGCAUUNCGCCU
Molecule: ribosomal RNA, 890 nt
Filed under: uncultured bacterium
Lineage: Bacteria
Description: bacterial SSU rRNA
Rfam family: Bacterial small subunit ribosomal RNA
Source: RNAcentral